ACUUUCAUGUUUAUAUUUGUCCUCUUUGGCUCAUGGGUCAAAAGUUUCUGCCUCUCUCUCAACUGCCUAACAAAAUUGGAUCAUUCCACUAAUUUUAUAAUAUACGGAUAUGUCAAUACAACAAGUUUUCAAAGGCAGGACUGGUGAAAUUAUGAAGAAACUGUCUUUAGGUGACAACUAAACUUUUAGUGAUUUUUGUCUUUGAAGCUGGUGGAGGAACUAUAAGAUGUGAAGUUCACAGAUAUUUUCUCCUUUGUGCUGGUUUUCUGCAGUCAUUGCAGCAGUCUAAUUGUUCUGUGAAGAAGAAAACUACAAUGAUAUAAAAUAGUCAAAAUCUACACAACCAGAGUGGAAAUUUCUGAGCAUGUCCAGAAGGGAAACAUAGGGCAAAAGAAGUUCAAAUAGAAUACAAACUGUGCAUAAGUGCCAAAAAUUGAACUCAUGUGGCUAUGGAAAUGACAUUGAGGUGUGUAAAAAAAAAAAAAAAAAAAAAAAAAAAAAAAAAAAGAUUUAGCCAUAAGCGGUCCAAGUAAGUCACAUCAGAAAUCUCUAGCUGAUGUGAAAACGAUGCCUACAUAUACCAAUUCCUAGCAGUUUUCUCUAGGGAUAAAUUUAUCUUUUCCUUGGAGAAAUGCAUAAAUUUCCAUUUAACACUGUAUUAUAUACAUUAUUGAAAGGUAUUCUUUACUAUGGCUAUAGAGCAGCCAAGAUAGAAGCAGCCAUUGUUAGAGAGAUGUAUCUGUGUUUAGCCUCAGGGCUUGGGUCAGUGUCACUUUUCCUUUGGAACAGAGUUAUCAUAUCCAGUUAUUAUCUUCUCUUCUAAUUAGUCCAGUAACAAGUCAUUGCUAUUUCCCAAGGCAGACUUCUGGAAAGAAUUUGUCAAUGGAAUAAGAUGGAACAGUAUGUUCUGGGCCAGAAAGACAGAGCUUCAGUUCUAUUUCAAGCUCUGCUGCUGACCUUGGCCAUCUCACUUUUCCUUUGCAUGUCAUCUUUAAAAUAAUACUACUGAUAGCUUACAUUUAUUUGUAAAAUUGUUUUCUCUCUCUGGCUGAAAACAAUUGUUGUGUUUGUUCUAUUAAAACAUUUGUGGGUUACCACAACUACUCAGUGGAGUUAAGAGUCUGAUUCUAGAAGGUGCUAAAUGUACUUUAGGCUUCUACAGCACACAGUACAGGACCUGGAUUCACAACAUAUUUACACUAAUACAAUUUACAUUAUUUAUGUGCACUGAUGUAAAUGAUAUGGAUGAUGCAGGUAUCUGGGGCUAUCUGCUUUCUGUAGGGUCUAUUAUAGUGCUUGUCCCUUGUGGCAGGAAAGGAUGAAAUACACUUUUUACCUAUUGCAAAAAACUAUCCCUGGGUAGCUGCAGA
This is a long non-coding RNA of Alligator mississippiensis (American alligator), 1370 nucleotides long. RefSeq lists it as uncharacterized. The record is from RefSeq and is a predicted model, not a curated record. The transcript has 3 exons. NCBI's taxonomy places the organism in Eukaryota, Metazoa, Chordata, Crocodylia, Alligatoridae.